UGGAAGUUGUACCCUGGUGGGGUGUUAGAGGGUCACACAAGUACACACCUGUGUGUGAGGAGAGGGCAGAUUGCUGACUACCGCUGUAACGUGGAAGACCUGCUUCACUGGACGUACACAGAGCAUAAAGCCCUUUGUCUACGCAAAUCAGACAAAUGUUUGACAGCUGGAGGAAAUUCAACGCUUCUUGUGAAAACUUGCGACAGUUCUAUGAAUCAAAGAUGGAUGUUUGAGAAAUCCAAGUUUCAGCUUUAUAACACGUAAUACAUAACGGGACUUCGUGUCUUGAAUGCAUUGGUGUGAUGCGUUUUGUGAAUGUUUUUGCAUUGUUCAAGUAUGUGCGAACGUAUACUGAUUUACAUAUAUUGUGAUGUGGCCAAAGUGCUUAGGUGCUGCUGUGAUCGGAUUUGUAUCGCAGCGACUGAAGAUUAGGCUGUGGAUUUACACUUUUCUAUAAUCAUCUUGUUACUGAUGCGUCAGAUGAGGAACGUGCUGUAUAUGCCCAACCUUAAAGCUUGUGGUAAGGCCUCGAAUGUUAGGCAGUGUCGUAUGGCGUUCACUGAAAUCGGGAGUCUAGAUUGCCACUUCAGUACUUUGAGUAUAGUAAACUAAUGAGAUUGGUUAGCCAAUAUUUGACAUGUCAGGUGCUUCAUUGUGUUCAAAUUAUAUUAUAAGUAUGUCAGAGUGACAUGUUGUAUGUGUUGUCAAAGAUAAUAAAUAUUAUAUAUAUGGACAAAGUUAUUAUUCUUGAUUUGAUGUAAUAUUUGUGGGAACCAUUGUGUUUUAACAUCAUAAAAAAGCAAUAAUCAUUAAA
Long non-coding RNA from Haliotis rubra (blacklip abalone), 814 nucleotides. RefSeq lists it as uncharacterized. The record is from RefSeq and is a predicted model, not a curated record. Lineage: Eukaryota; Metazoa; Mollusca; Gastropoda; Lepetellida; Haliotidae. The transcript is spliced from 2 exons.